RNAcentral lists this ribosomal RNA (766 nucleotides) under Escherichia coli. Its description in RNAcentral is "partial 23S ribosomal RNA". It matches the Rfam family "Bacterial large subunit ribosomal RNA", at positions 2165 to 2925 of the family's 2925-position model. Lineage: Bacteria; Pseudomonadati; Pseudomonadota; Gammaproteobacteria; Enterobacterales; Enterobacteriaceae. The record is from RNAcentral.
UGGACGCCAGUCUGCAUGGAGCCGACCUUGAAAUACCACCCUUUAAUGUUUGAUGUUCUAACGUUGGCCCCUAAUCGGGGUUGCGGACAGUGUCUGGUGGGUAGUUUGACUGGGGCGGUCUCCUCCUAAAGAGUAACGGAGGAGCACGAAGGUUGGCUAAUCCUGGUCGGACAUCAGGAGGUUAGUGCAAUGGCAUAAGCCAGCUUGACUGCGAGCGUGACGGCGCGAGCAGGUGCGAAAGCAGGUCAUAGUGAUCCGGUGGUUCUGAAUGGAAGGGCCAUCGCUCAACGGAUAAAAGGUACUCCGGGGAUAACAGGCUGAUACCGCCCAAGAGUUCAUAUCGACGGCGGUGUUUGGCACCUCGAUGUCGGCUCAUCACAUCCUGGGGCUGAAGUAGGUCCCAAGGGUAUGGCUGUUCGCCAUUUAAAGUGGUACGCGAGCUGGGUUUAGAACGUCGUGAGACAGUUCGGUCCCUAUCUGCCGUGGGCGCUGGAGAACUGAGGGGGGCUGCUCCUAGUACGAGAGGACCGGAGUGGACGCAUCACUGGUGUUCGGGUUGUCAUGCCAAUGGCACUGCCCGGUAGCUAAAUGCGGAAGAGAUAAGUGCUGAAAGCAUCUAAGCACGAAACUUGCCCCGAGAUGAGUUCUCCCUGACUCCCUGAGAGUCCUGAAGGAACGUUGAAGACGACGACGUUGAUAGGCCGGGUGUGUAAGCGCAGCGAUGCGUUGAGCUAACCGGUACUAAUGAACCGUGAGGCUUAACCUU